ACGCUGGCGGUGCGCCUUAUGCCUGCAAGUCGAGCGAAGCUUUUCAGUAGUUUACUACAGAAAAUGACUGAGCGGCGAACGGGUGAGUAACGCGUGAGCAAUCUACCUUAGUUACAGGGAUAGCCCGAGGAAACUCGGAUUAAUACCUGAUAUUCUUUAUUUCUCGCAUGAGAAUAAAAGGAAAGGUCAGCCGAACUAAGAUGAGCUCGCGUUCUAUCAGCUAGUUGGUGAGGUAAAAGCUUACCAAGGCUACGACGGAUAGCUGGUCUGAGAGGACGAUCAGCCACACUGGGACUGAGACACGCCCAGACUCCUACGGGAGGCUGCAGCAGGGAAUAUUGUGCAAUGAACGAAAGUUUGACACAGCGACACCGCGUGUGGGAUGACGGAUCUAGGUUUGUAAACCACUUUCAGGAGGGAAGAAAAUGACGGUACCUCCACAAGAAGCCCCGGCCAACUACGUGCCAGCAGCCGCGGUAAUACGUAGGGGGCGAGCGUUGUCCGGAUUUAUUGGGCGUAAAGAGCUCGUAGGCGGUUCAACAAGUCGGUCGUGAAAGUUCAGGGCUCAACCCUGAAAUGUCGAUCGAUACUGUUGUGACUAGGAUAC
Molecule: ribosomal RNA, 607 nt
Filed under: uncultured bacterium
Lineage: Bacteria
Description: bacterial SSU rRNA
Rfam family: Bacterial small subunit ribosomal RNA
Source: RNAcentral